UGAGGAAUAUUGCACAAUGGGCGCAAGCCUGAUGCAGCGACGCCGCGUGUGGGAUGAAGGGGCUACGCCUCGUAAACCACUGUAGCCCGGGACGAAAAACGCCUUAGAGGCGUUAGACGGUACCGGGAAAGUAAGGGUCGGCUAACUACGUGCCAGCAGCCGCGGUAAUACGUAGGACCCAAGCGUUGUCCGGAUUUACUGGGUGUAAAGGGUGCGCAGGCGGAUGGGUAAGUCAGGGGUGAAAGUCUGCAGCUUAACUGUAGAAUUGCCUUUGAUACUGGUCAACUUGAGUGUGGGAGAGGUUGAUGGAAUUCCAGGUGUAGCAGUGAAAGGCGGAGAUAUCUGGAAGAACACGAGGGGCGAAGGCGGUCAACUGGCCGAUAACUGACGCGCAUGCACGAAAGCGUGGGGAGCAAAC
Molecule: ribosomal RNA, 418 nt
Filed under: uncultured bacterium
Lineage: Bacteria
Description: bacterial SSU rRNA
Rfam family: Bacterial small subunit ribosomal RNA
Source: RNAcentral